GACGAACGCUGGCGGCGUGCUUAACACAUGCAAGUCGAACGGAAAGGCCCUGCUUUUGUGGGGUGCUCGAGUGGCGAACGGGUGAGUAACACGUGAGUAACCUGCCCUUGACUUUGGGAUAACUUCAGGAAAAUGGGGCUAAUACCGGAUAGGAGCUCCUGCUGCAUGGUGGGGGUUGGAAAGUUUCGGCGGUUGGGGCUGGACUCGCGGGUUAUCAGCUUGUUGGUGGGGUAGUGGCUUACCAAGGCUUUGACGGGUAGCCGGCCUGGGAGGGGGACCGGCCACAUUGGGACUGCGAUACGGCCCAGACUGCUACGGGAGGCAGCAGUGGGGAAUACUGCACAAUGGGCGGAAGCCUGAUGCAGCAACGCCGCGUGCGGGAUGACGGCCUUCGGGUUGUAAACCGCUUUCGCCUGUGACGAAGCGUGAGUGACGGUAAUGGGUAAAGAAGCACCGGCUAACUACGUG
RNAcentral lists this ribosomal RNA (468 nucleotides) under uncultured bacterium. Its description in RNAcentral is "partial 16S ribosomal RNA". It matches the Rfam family "Bacterial small subunit ribosomal RNA", at positions 28 to 507 of the family's 1533-position model. The record is from RNAcentral.